Molecule: long non-coding RNA, 383 nt
Filed under: Medicago truncatula (barrel medic)
Lineage: Eukaryota; Viridiplantae; Streptophyta; Magnoliopsida; Fabales; Fabaceae
Description: lncRNA gene35010
Source: RNAcentral
GUCAACAACUGUUAUAUAUGCGACAUUCUGCCAAAUCAUCUCUUAAAUGGGUUUAGGCACUACUUUAAAAGACGUAAUUAUUUGCAAGGGCGUAUUUUAAAAAAAAAAAUAGAGACCAAAAUUCAAAUUGCUCAUAUUUGGUUACCCAGAUAUCUGAAGCAAGGCAAAUCAAUAAUCUUACACAUUUAAACUCAAUCAUUUUUGGUUAAAGCAAUUAGAUCACAAUUCCAAUACCCAAUUUGUAUUUUCUUAGCAACCAACAACAAUCAAAACAUGAACUUUCUCUAAUGGGGUUACAUAAAAAUCAAAACUCUAACACAAUACCAAGUUUUAACAACAAUCAAAACAUUAAAACAGGAAAUUUCUCAAAUGGGGUUACAUAA